CCUCGCCACCUCCCUUGAUUCCAAGCCUUCCUAUCAGUUGUUCCUGCUGCCUGGGAUCCUUGCUCUUCUGUCUCCUUUUGUUUAACCUGAUUAUUGUUUCUCAUUUCAGUUUGGAUGUCACCCUGCCAGAAUCAGACGCCAUCCUUGACCCCCUCCAAAACAUCAGCCCUCUACACACCACAGAAUUUCCUCUCUCCCUUGACUUAGCUUACCAUAUUUCAUUGGCACAGAUGCAUCAGCCCCAUUUCCUAGACACACUGAACAAACUGAGAACAGAAAACUGAGAUCAAAUCCCACUACUUCCCAUCAACCAGAGCUGAAGUGGGAGGAUUGCUUGAAGCCAGGAGUUUGAGACCAGCCUGGACAACAAAGCAAAACCCUGUCUCUACAAAAAAAAAAAAAAAACAUUUUAAAAUAUUAUCUGGGCAUGGUGACGCAGGUCUGUAGUCCCAGCUACUUGGGAGGCUGAGGUGUGAGGAUCACUUGAUCGCUCAGGAGUUUGGAGGCUGCAGUGAGCUAUGAUCACACCACUGCCCUUUGCUUGGGUGUCAGAGUGAGACCUCAUCUCUAAAAAAAAUUAAAAUAAAAUAAAAUUAUAAAAUAAUAAUAAAAAAAGAAGGGGCACCCACCACAGAGAGCAAUUAAUGUCCAGAGAGUAUGAACAGAUCCUGGGACUGCUUUGCAAGACAGUUCAGUUAAAGUUGCUUUAACUUUGUAGGCGGACCAGCCUCUGCUCAGCCCUUGAAAGGGAAGCUGGGCACUCACCACACUCAGUAAGCUGAACAAGAGCAGGCCGUGAGGCUGCCAAGCCCUCCAAGGAUAAAGCAUGAGCCCUGGGGCAACUGGGCAUGUGCUGGAGAUAGCUGGCUCAAGGCCAGUGCCUCUUCAGUGCUGGAAACUGUUGACUCAAGAUUCGUGCGUCACCCAGCCCUUGGGGGUGGGCCGGGGACCAUGACUCUGGCAAGCUCACAGAGUGCCUGAGAUUGAAGCUGCUGUGCAUGGUGGCUGCUUUAUGUUCCUGCAAUAACUAACAGGGACCAAAGCUGAAAGCAUUCUGUGUAUGGGCUGAUGGUGGCUGGAAUAUACAUUUGGAGGUUUGAACCUAGCCUUUUCAAAAACAAAACCAAUCAAAUAAAGCAACCCCUCCCCAUCACCUGAGGACUCUUCACAAGCUUUCUGGUAGGUUCCAGGAGUUUCUGAUCCCCCAGGCUGAGGCAUUACUUGGUGGUUAUUAACCUCGUGCAGAGCAAAAUGAAAUGCAGACCCUGAGGUCCUUUGGGAGACUUAGAACCUUAGCCGAAGUUCCAGAGAUCCUGGGGCUGCUUUUCUGAAGUUCCAGUUUCUUCAGCAAAGUUGCUCCCAAUUUCUCAAAUAGUGGAUACACCUCUGCAGAGUGGCUGUCAGUCUUAGAAAGUGUAAGACAUGCCUGGAGAACUUGUUAAAAGUUCAGAUUCUACACACCUAACAGAAUGGCAACAAUUCAGAACACUGACAACACCCAGUGCUGGUGAGGAUGUGGAGAAACAAGAAUUCAUUCACUGCUGG
RNAcentral lists this long non-coding RNA (1545 nucleotides) under Homo sapiens (human). RNAcentral describes it as "HSALNT0023460". Lineage: Eukaryota; Metazoa; Chordata; Mammalia; Primates; Hominidae. The record is from RNAcentral.